RNAcentral lists this ribosomal RNA (450 nucleotides) under uncultured bacterium. RNAcentral's name for it is "bacterial SSU rRNA". It matches the Rfam family "Bacterial small subunit ribosomal RNA", at positions 354 to 796 of the family's 1533-position model. The record is from RNAcentral.
GUGGGGAAUUUUGGACAAUGGGCGCAAGCCUGAUCCAGCCAUGCCGCGUGCGGGAAGAAGGCCUUCGGGUUGUAAACCGCUUUUGUCAGGGAAGAAAAGGUUCUGGUUAAUACCUGGGACUCAUGACGGUACCUGAAGAAUAAGCACCGGCUAACUACGUGCCAGCAGCCGCGGUAAUACGUAGGGUGCAAGCGUUAAUCGGAAUUACUGGGCGUAAAGCGUGCGCAGGCGGUUAUGCAAGACAGAGGUGAAAUCCCCGGGCUCAACCUGGGAACUGCCUUUGUGACUGCAUAGCUAGAGUACGGUAGAGGGGGAUGGAAUUCCGCGUGUAGCAGUGAAAUGCGUAGAUAUGCGGAGGAACACCGAUGGCGAAGGCAAUCCCCUGGACCUGUACUGACGCUCAUGCACGAAAGCGUGGGGAGCAAACAGGAUUAGAAACCCUUGUAGUCC